RNAcentral lists this ribosomal RNA (256 nucleotides) under uncultured bacterium. RNAcentral describes it as "partial 16S ribosomal RNA". It matches the Rfam family "Bacterial small subunit ribosomal RNA", at positions 524 to 776 of the family's 1533-position model. The record is from RNAcentral.
GACGGAGGAUGCAAGUGUUAUCCGGAAUCACUGGGCGUAAAGCGUCUGUAGGUUGUUUAAAAAGUCUGCAGUUAAAGGUUGAAAGCUUAACUUCAAAAAUGCCGUAGAAACUUUUAAACUAAGAGGAUGGUAGGGGUAGAAGGGAAUUUCCAGUGGAGCGGUGAAAUGUGUAGAUAUUGGAAAGACCACCGAUGGCGAAGGCACUCUACUGGGCCAUGACUGACACUGAGAGACGAAAGCUAGGGGAGCAAAUGGG